This 618-nucleotide ribosomal RNA is filed under the name Bifidobacterium longum. Its description in RNAcentral is "bacterial SSU rRNA". It matches the Rfam family "Bacterial small subunit ribosomal RNA", at positions 79 to 712 of the family's 1533-position model. The record is from RNAcentral. Lineage: Bacteria; Bacillati; Actinomycetota; Actinomycetes; Bifidobacteriales; Bifidobacteriaceae.
UUGCUUGGUGGUGAGAGUGGCGAACGGGUGAGUAAUGCGUGACCGACCUGCCCCAUACACCGGAAUAGCUCCUGGAAACGGGUGGUAAUGCCGGAUGCUCCAGUUGAUCGCAUGGUCUUCUGGGAAAGCUUUCGCGGUAUGGGAUGGGGUCGCGUCCUAUCAGCUUGACGGCGGGGUAACGGCCCACCGUGGCUUCGACGGGUAGCCGGCCUGAGAGGGCGACCGGCCACAUUGGGACUGAGAUACGGCCCAGACUCCUACGGGAGGCAGCAGUGGGGAAUAUUGCACAAUGGGCGCAAGCCUGAUGCAGCGACGCCGCGUGAGGGAUGGAGGCCUUCGGGUUGUAAACCUCUUUUAUCGGGGAGCAAGCGAGAGUGAGUUUACCCGUUGAAUAAGCACCGGCUAACUACGUGCCAGCAGCCGCGGUAAUACGUAGGGUGCAAGCGUUAUCCGGAAUUAUUGGGCGUAAAGGGCUCGUAGGCGGUUCGUCGCGUCCGGUGUGAAAGUCCAUCGCUUAACGGUGGAUCCGCGCCGGGUACGGGCGGGCUUGAGUGCGGUAGGGGAGACUGGAAUUCCCGGUGUAACGGUGGAAUGUGUAGAUAUCGGGAAGAACACCAA